Molecule: ribosomal RNA, 954 nt
Filed under: uncultured organism
Description: bacterial SSU rRNA
Rfam family: Bacterial small subunit ribosomal RNA
Source: RNAcentral
ACGGAGGAUGCAGGCGUUAUCCGGAUUUAUUAGGUUUAAAGGGUGUUCAGGCUGUCUGAUAAGUCAGAGGUGAAAGUCGGUUGCUUAACGAUCGAAUUGCCUUUGAAACUGUUAGACUCGAGUAUGGAUGCGGUAGGCGGAAUGUGUAGUGUAGCGGUGAAAUGCAUAGAUAUUACACAGAACACCGAUUGCGAAGGCAGCUUACCAAACCAGCACUGACGCUGAAGCACGAAAGCGUGGGUAGCGAACAGGAUUAGAUACCCUGGUAGUCCACGCCGUAAACUUUGCUCACUCGCUGUUGGCGAUACACAGUCAGCGGCUAAGGGAAACCGAUAAGUGAGCCACCUGGGGAGUACGAUCGCAAGAUUGAAACUCAAAGGAAUUGACGGGGGCCCGCACAAGCGGUGGAACAUGUGGUUUAAUUCGAUGAUACGCGAGGAACCUUACCUGGGCUUAAAUGUAUAGUGCAUGAAUGUGAAAACAUUCUUUCCUUCGGGACUUUAUACAAGGUGCUGCAUGGUUGUCGUCAGCUCGUGCCGUGAGGUGUCGGGUUAAGUCCCAUAACGAGCGCAACCCCUAUUGUUAGUUACCAGCGCGUAAUGGCGGGGACUCUAGCGAAACUGCCGGUGUAAACCGCGAGGAAGGUGGGGAUGACGUCAAAUCAGCACGGCCCUUAUGUCCAGGGCUACACACGUGUUACAAUGGCCGGUACAGAGGGCAGCGGAGUAGUGAUACUUAGCGAAUCUCCAAAGCCGGUCCCAGUUCGGAUUGGAGUCUGCAACCCGACUCCAUGAAGGUGGAAUCGCUAGUAAUCGCGCAUCAGCCAUGGCGCGGUGAUACGUUCCCGGGCAUUGUACACACCGCCCGUCAAGCCAUGGAAGUUUGGGGUGCCUGAAGGCCGUAACCGCAAGGAGCGGUCUAGGGUAAACAAAUGACUGGGGCUAAGUCGUANCA